UUUAUGUGGUUUAAUUAAAACGUGGCNCUGAAAAUGCUAAGAUAAAUUUGAAAAAAAUUUCAAAAACA
Molecule: transfer RNA, 68 nt
Filed under: Paradactylodon persicus (Persian mountain salamander)
Lineage: Eukaryota; Metazoa; Chordata; Amphibia; Caudata; Hynobiidae
Description: Iranodon persicus (Persian mountain salamander) partial tRNA-Phe
Rfam family: tRNA
About the family: Transfer RNA (tRNA) molecules are approximately 80 nucleotides in length. Their secondary structure includes four short double-helical elements and three loops (D, anti-codon, and T loops).
Source: RNAcentral